This 1442-nucleotide long non-coding RNA is filed under the name Macaca fascicularis (crab-eating macaque). RNAcentral's name for it is "lncRNA (ENSMFAG00000050496.1)". The record is from RNAcentral. Lineage: Eukaryota; Metazoa; Chordata; Mammalia; Primates; Cercopithecidae.
ACCAGCACCAGCUUAACAGGAAUGACAUGAUCUGGAUGCGACAGUGGCAGUUUUCCCUUAACAUCCCUGCCCCCUAAAGAUUUGAGAUCAAAUUUCACACUCUUAAGUAACAGCAAUUUGUCUUUCACGGUUUUAAUCAUAUUGACUAAAAGCAUUUGUCUUUUCCAGAACAUCACAUUAAGUCACCCAAAAAUAUAAAAAUUAAAAAGAUGUAAUUAUUGGCAAUAAAAAACAUAAAAGGUGAGCUUUCGAAAUAUCUUUGAGAAAUUUAUUCAUUAUGAACACAUGGAAUCUGUUGGAACAAAGUUCUAGGACAAUUCAGCCCAUCCUUCAAUAAUUGCAGAAAACAGCACAAAGAAAACUUGAUAUUUAUACUUAGUUGGAAAUUUUAUCCUACAGUCAUUAAAUACAGAGAUCAUAUAAAGGAAUAGAGGAAGAUGUUGAAAACUAAACUAACUCAAAUCAUCAAUAUUCUUACAAAGUGCACACUGAAUUAAUGUAAAAGUAUUUACCAAACAAAAAGUAUUUUCAAUACAUAAUUAAGACUGAAAAGUAUUGAGGCCUCAUAAACUGAACCUGAUACAACAAAUUUCAAAGGGAAACUAAUUUGGAAAUCAGAAAAUCAUCUAAGGAAUUUGAGAAUUAGGCUUCUGUUGCCCCCUCUGCUACUGACAGUCAGGGCCCCCUCAUUGUAUUCUGUCCUCCACAUCUCUGCUGAUUGCCGUUUUGUCUAUUUCCAUUUACCCCACUACUACUUGCUCAGGUCACUCUCCUUCAUUCUCAGUGUUUGUUCAAAUUCCUCACACCCAUCCACUUCCCAUCUAAAUUUCCCUCCCCUUUUGUCCCUCGCUGGCCCUACCUCCCUCUUCUCUUGUUUUCUCCUCACGAUCCUGCCCCACCUCGACAUCCACAGCGAUACAGUGAAGAAGCCCCUGCCAAGGAAGAGCCCACUUCUCAGUGGGGCACCGGGAAGUAACCAAGGAGCCUUUGAUUAGUAGUGAAAUUGUGGCACCCCAACAAUGGUGGAGUGGAAUAUCCUGCUACUCUGGAGGGGUGAUGGCUCAGGGUCAAGACUGAACUAAUUAGAAAAAGAAAUGCACUCCAGGAAUAUCAAGUCCAAAACGAAGCUCUUCAAACCAUCUGGGAAGAGAAAACAGCAUGACAAGGAAAGGUAUGUUUGUCUGAUCCCAGGAAUCAAUAUAAACAUCCAUGAUAACCCCACCUAUUUUUUAAAUAUAUGAUUUGGAUGAAACAAGGGAAAGAGACUGAUUGUUGCUGAGUCCCUGCUGCAGUCCCGACACAGCUGGAGAUGCCCUGCUCCCCUGCUCCCCUUCUCCCCGCUCCCCGCUCCCCGCUCCCCGCUCUCCCGCUCUCCUGCUCUCCUGCUCUCUUUAUUUUGUUGAUGCUCAUGAGGACCCUGAUGUCUGAGGAAGAAGGUUCCC